Rhipicephalus sanguineus (brown dog tick) is the source of this 127-nucleotide small nuclear RNA. RefSeq annotates it as U5 spliceosomal RNA. The transcript has a single exon. Lineage: Eukaryota; Metazoa; Arthropoda; Arachnida; Ixodida; Ixodidae. The record is from RefSeq and is a predicted model, not a curated record.
UCGCUCAGGCCUCUCCUCAUACAUACGCACCAAUCUUUCGCCUUUUACUAAAGAUUGCCGUGGGGAGAGGCGCUACAAUAUGAGCCAACAGGCGAAUUUAUGAAAGGCCCUGUCCGCUUGGACGGGG